UCGCUCAGAACUUCGGGAGGGUGAGAGCCCUCGCGGGGUUCGUUCAGAGUGGCUGGCUGCGAUGAACGGCCACAGGCCGCCCAGAAGGGAUGAGCCACGCAGUGGCGAAUUAUCCCUUCCUCACCGCCA
Molecule: small RNA, 129 nt
Filed under: Aeromonas taiwanensis
Lineage: Bacteria; Pseudomonadati; Pseudomonadota; Gammaproteobacteria; Aeromonadales; Aeromonadaceae
Description: RtT sRNA
Rfam family: RtT RNA
About the family: This family represents a bacterial cis-regulatory element known as RtT RNA. The exact function of RtT is unknown although it is thought that it may be involved in changing the cellular response in relation to amino acid starvation.
Source: RNAcentral